Molecule: ribosomal RNA, 301 nt
Filed under: uncultured bacterium
Lineage: Bacteria
Description: partial 16S ribosomal RNA
Rfam family: Bacterial small subunit ribosomal RNA
Source: RNAcentral
CAGCAGCCACGGGAAUACGUAGGGUGCGAGCGUUAAUCGGAAUUACUGGGCGUAAAGCGGGCGCAGACGGUUACUUAAGCAGGAUGUGAAAUCCCCGGGCUCAACCUGGGAACUGCGUUCUGAACUGGGUGACUAGAGUGCGUCAGAGGGAGGUAGAAUUCCACGUGUAGCAGUGAAAUGCGUAGAGAUGUGGAGGAAUGCCGAUGGCGAAGGCAGCCUCCUGGGAUAACACUGACGUUCAUGCCCGAAAGCGUGAGUAGCAAACAGGAUUAGAUACCCCCGUAGUCCCUGUCUCUUAUAC